GCUUCGGUAACUCAGCGGUAGAGUGCCUCGUUCACAUCGAGGAAGUCGGCGGUUCGAACCCGUCCCGAAGCACCA
This 75-nucleotide transfer RNA is filed under the name Pararhizobium sp. BT-229. Its description in RNAcentral is "tRNA-Val". It matches the Rfam family "tRNA". From Rfam's summary of the family: Transfer RNA (tRNA) molecules are approximately 80 nucleotides in length. RNAcentral also lists the same sequence under 1 other name. The record is from RNAcentral. Lineage: Bacteria; Pseudomonadati; Pseudomonadota; Alphaproteobacteria; Hyphomicrobiales; Rhizobiaceae.